CCCACCCCAAGUAAAGCAAGAUUAUCCUCUAAGUUUAAGCAUACCAAUAAAUAAAAAAAAUGAAACUUACCAGGAUUCCCCUAGUACCAGUGAUCGAACUAGGAAUAACAUAGCUUGAGAAUUAAGCACCCUAGCAUCCAAAUUAUAGUUUGGAGAAACAUCCUUAGUAACGGACUGGACACAAGUCCCUUGGAAUGGGGUGGUGGAAAAGGUGAAAGCCCCAAAGUGCCUAGACCUUAUCACACCAUAAAGCGUUGUUUGUGACUCGGGUUGUUUAGGAAUGUAGCCCCAAUCAGUGGUAAAUUCCAUUUGAGGCUGAAUAUGGGUGAGAGACUAAUGCGAACAAGUAUCGUGAGGGAAAGAUGAAAAGGACUUUGGAAAGAAAGUCAAAGAGUGCUUGAAAUUGUUAGGAAGGAAGCGAAUGAGGGCCAGUGAUGCAUGCCAAUUGGAUGUGGAAUGGUAAGAGCUAGUCCGUCAAUCGGUUUGAGGCAUGGACCGAUGUGGGUCAUGAUAGUGGCCCAAGCCUGAGCUUUCAAUAUGCUGAUGGAGAUGUCGUCUUUGUGAUUAUGGAAUGCAUCAUGUGCCAUCUCGGCAUGCCUCGACACUUGCAUGUUCCCAAUUUCUACCAAUAGGCUCCUUAUCUAGUCCAUCUUGAAACACAGACCAAGGAGUCUGACAUGUGUGUGAGUCAACGGGCUAGAAAACACCCAUAAGGUGCAAAGAAGUUAAUUGGUGGGAUCCCUAGAGGGUGCACCACCGAUUGACCUUGAUAUUCUAAGAAAGGUUCAAGUGUGAGCAUGCUUAUUGGGACCCGAAAGAUGGUGAAUAAUGCCUAAGCAAGGCAAAGCCAGAGGAAACUCUUAUGGAGGACCUUAGAGAUAUGCAAAUUAUUCAUUUGACUAGGGUAUAAGGGCAAAAGACUAAUCGAACUAUCUAGUAGUUUGUUUCUUCCAAAGUUUCCCUCAGGAUAACUGGACCACUUAGCAAGUUUUAUCGGGUAAAGCCAAUGAUUAGAGACAUCAAGGGCAUAAUGCGCUUGACCUAUUCUUAAACUUUAAAUAGGUAGGAUGGUACAAUUAAAUUAUUGAGCCAUGCCACAAAAUCAAAAGCUUCAAGUGGGCCAUUUUUAGUAUGCAAAAUUGGCAAUGCAGGAUGAACCAAAAACUUAUUUAUGGUGCCUAACUGCACGUUAACCUAAAACCCAUAAAGAGUGUUGGUUGAUUAAAAUAGCAGGAUGAUGGUCAUGGAAGUCAAAAUCUUCUAAGAACUAUGUAACAAUUCAUCUACCAAACAACUAGCCCCAAAAUGGAUGGUGCUUAAGCUCAUGACCUAUUUCCAGCCAUCAUGGCAAGGUUAGGCCCCGAUGUGUAGGGGCACGAUGAUCGUAGCAAAAUUGAGGCAUGAGCUUGGGCGGAGUGACUGUCAGUGCACAUCUUGGUGGUAGUAGCAAAUAUUUAAAUGAGAACUUUGAAGGUCGAAAGGGGAAAGGUUUUAUGUGAACGACACUUGCACAAGGGUUAAUCAAUCUUAAAAGAUGGGGGAAGUUGAUCCGAUAAUGCAUCUAAUGUGAGCUUAAAAAGGGAAUUAGCUUAAAAUUCUUGAACUAGGACACGAUGGUUGAUGGCAAUGUUAGGGAGUCCAAAGACAUAGGCAGAGGCCUCAGGAAGAGUUAUCCUUUUUGUUUAACAUCAUGCCUACCCUAGAAACGGCUUAACCAAAGGAAAGGUCUAGCGACUGGAAAAGCAACACUUGUCACAUAGUGUUCGAUUCAUUCCUAGUGGCCUUUGAAAAUCUGGAGGAUCAAGUGCCAUCCAUGCUUGGUCAUACUUAUAGUUGUAAUAGGUUUACAAGGUGAAUUGCCUCUAGUUGAUGGAAUAUGUAACCUUGGGAAAAGGAUUAGAUCUUAGGGCUAGGCAUGAGGGUUCUAGUCCCAAACCCAUCAACUGCUAGUGCACUACUCAAGCUGCUCUAGUGGUGAGAAUGGGUCAUCAUUUUCUAGCUGGGGGAUGAACUGGGAACAACUUUAUAAUGCCCUAAUCCCACAUUGGAAGAAUAUAUGGAUAUGAUAUGAUAUAUAUGUAAAGAUCUAAACCCAAACUUGUGAGGCACCUUUUAUGGGAUAGAACAGUGAGUCUUUCAGGUCAAAGUAGACAAUACCUUAUAAGUUAGGUGUAGGUCUCUAUAAAUGGUAUUAGAGAGGUCAUCAGUCAGUGAUAAUUAAGUGCUACAUCAUAGGUGUUGCUAAGUGCUACAUGAUAGGGAGCCACCUCUAGAAGUUCAAUGUCUGGUGUGAUCUUGGUCCUAUGAUUAGACUUUGCUUGAUAGGGACAUCAAGCUUUAAAGGCUUGUAGGGUAGAUGUGGGUCUCCAUAGGUUUCUUAGGGGGCUUUCCUCAGAUAAUGAAUAGUUAACUCAUAACUAGUAUGGAUAGGGGGAAUUGACUAUUUAAUUAAGACAAUGCAUUGUGAUGGUUCUUACAAAUGCCCAUGCAAUGUGAUUUUUGUGCAGUGAUCUAAAUGUCAAAGUGAAGAAAUUCAACAAAGCACAGGUAAAUAGCGAGAGUAACUAUGACUCUUUUAAGGUAGCCAAAUGCCUUGUCAUCUAAUUAGUGACGCGUAUGAAUGGAUUAAUGAGAUUCCCAUUAUAAUUGUCUACUAUCUAGUGAAACCACAACCAAGGGAACAAGCUUGGCAGAAUCAAUAGGGAAAGAAAACCCUAUUAAGCUUGACUUUAGUCUAACUUUCUUAAAUGACUUGAGAGCUAUAGGAUAAGUGCGAGCCCUUGGGCAAAAUUGAAAUAUCACUACUUUUAACAUUGUUUUACUUAUUCCAUGAAUAAGAGGCAAGGCGUGAUCCUUUCUUUUGGACCCAAGGCUAGCCUUAGCUAGUUGAUCCAAGUGGAAGACAUUGUUAGGUGGGGAGUUUGGCUAGGGUGGCACAUCUAUUAAAAGAUAAUACAUGUGCCCUAAGAUGAGCUUAACGAGAAUAGAAAUCUCAGGUGGAGCAAAUGGGUAAAAGCUCAUUUGUUUUUAAUUUCCAAUACAAAUAUAAACCAUGAAAGCAUGGCCUAUCAAUCCUUUAAACCUUCAGAAUUUGAAGCUAAAGGUGUCAAAAAAGUUAUUGCAGGGAUAACUAGCUUGUAGCAACCAAGCAUUCCUAGCGACGUUACUUUUUCAUCCUUCGAUGUUAGUUCUUCCUAUCAUUGUCAAGCAAAAUUCACCAAGUGUUGGAUUGUUCACCCACUAAUAGGGAAUGUGAGCUAGGUUUAGACUAUCAUGAAAUAGGUUAGUUUUACCCUAUUGAUGUUAGGUCACAAUAGUAAUCAACCUAAUAUGAGAGGAACCAUUGAUUUGCACAAUUGGUCAUUGUGCUUAAUUGAAAAGCCAUGGCACAAAGCUGCCAUACAUUGGAUCAUGAUUGAAUACCUCUAAGUCAAAAUCUAGGCUAGAAGUGAUGCACAUGCCUAUUUCCCAAUUGCUGACCCACAGUAAGGGUCCAUGGCCCAUAAGGGCACAUGUCAUAGGUACAAUCCCCAAGAAAAAAAAGUAGUGUAAGCCUCAUUCGAGCUUAAUUCCCAUCAAUUGGUGGGUAGAAUCUUUUGUAGAUGACUUAAAUAUGCAAUGGGGUAUUUUAAGUGGCAAAGUGGCCUUGCUGUCAUGAUCCACUAAGAUCAG
This 3672-nucleotide ribosomal RNA is filed under the name Durio zibethinus. RNAcentral's name for it is "eukaryotic LSU rRNA". It matches the Rfam family "Eukaryotic large subunit ribosomal RNA". Lineage: Eukaryota; Viridiplantae; Streptophyta; Magnoliopsida; Malvales; Malvaceae. The record is from RNAcentral.